AUGGUUUACUGUUGUCUGCAUGUGAAUUUUGUACAAUAAAUACUGGAUCAACUGAGUGUUUUUAAAAAUAUUUGUCAUUUACUUUUUUUUUUUUUUUGCUAGCAUAGUGCACAGUAGCUGAAACCAACUUCACACAAGGCGGGAGCUGCAUAUGCAAAACAUGCAGUCAUGUUGGCUGUUCUCUUGACCAUUUUGAUGUUUAAUCAAGAUUAUGGCGGCUGUAUGGUGACUCCGGAGAUGUUUGUACUUGGUGAAAAUGAAAUGAGCUGGUUCAAGUCCCGCGAGUACUGCAUGAAAAAUGCUUAUCUGUUUGCCAGGCUCAACAAUGAAAGCAGCCAGACUAAGAUGGCCUUAAACAUGACAUUUGAAGAACCCACGGAGGGCUGGAUCAGUCUGCGCCGCAGCUUGUACUCAACAGACUGGUACUGGAAAAACGAAGACACUUUCUCACCUUACGUGGACUUCACUUACUGGGAGAAAGGACAGCCUGAAAAACCGGAGAAAGGCUUGUGCGCCUUGGUUUCCCUGGAUCCCAACAAGAACUUCAAGUGGAAGAGUGGACGCUGCUGUUCUAAAAAGAAGCCUGUUUGCUAUAAAAGACCAAAAUACUUCACUUUAUGAGAUACUUUGUAAACAACAGAUGUCUUGAAGACUUGUGACCUCCAAAAAUUUGCUUCCAGAACUAUCUUUAGGGAUCAGUAUAGAUUGGUUUGAUUUUCAUGCUCAACAUUUAUCUGUCUAUACAUAGUGAGGCCCCUAUAUUAGACUAGAUUUAGAAAAUGUUAUCUGGUGGGCAAUGACAUAGAUCUAGCAAUAAUAUUAACAGUGAAAAGAAAACUUGUAUUGCAGACUUUUUAGGUUAAAUAUAACUAUUAAAAAUUAGCGUGUAAGUUGAGAUGCAUUUUGAUCUGUAUCCAGACUAAGAUUUAAACAGUGAUUAUUA
This 943-nucleotide long non-coding RNA is filed under the name Sinocyclocheilus anshuiensis. RNAcentral describes it as "lncRNA (ENSSANG00000011050.1)". The record is from RNAcentral. Lineage: Eukaryota; Metazoa; Chordata; Actinopteri; Cypriniformes; Cyprinidae.